AUGUAUAGCAAAGCAACUCGCAUCAUGUCCUAUUGUCAGCUAGAGUUGGAUUGCCUAUAUUCAGAUUUGGUAAGCCAUGGUCCUGAAGGGGAAUACUCUAAGAUGGCCCUCUUUUGCAUAUUAAGUUUUGACAUCGAAUUUGCUGGUCGCAAAGGAUACUUCCCAGAACCAAAUCAUGAUCCGGUUAUUCAAGUUUAUUUUAUUACCUUUGUAUUUUGA
RNAcentral lists this ribosomal RNA (219 nucleotides) under Triticum aestivum (bread wheat). RNAcentral's name for it is "partial small subunit ribosomal RNA". The record is from RNAcentral. Lineage: Eukaryota; Viridiplantae; Streptophyta; Magnoliopsida; Poales; Poaceae.